Molecule: ribosomal RNA, 440 nt
Filed under: uncultured Eggerthella sp.
Lineage: Bacteria; Bacillati; Actinomycetota; Coriobacteriia; Eggerthellales; Eggerthellaceae
Description: bacterial SSU rRNA
Rfam family: Bacterial small subunit ribosomal RNA
Source: RNAcentral
CCUACGGGUGGCUGCAGUGGGGAAUUUUGCGCAAUGGGGGAAACCCUGACGCAGCAACGCCGCGUGCGGGACGACGGCCUUCGGGUUGUAAACCGCUUUCAGCAGGGAAGAAAUUCGACGGUACCUGCAGAAGAAGCUCCGGCUAACUACGUGCCAGCAGCCGCGGUAAUACGUAGGGAGCGAGCGUUAUCCGGAUUCAUUGGGCGUAAAGAGCGCGUAGGCGGCCUCUCAAGCGGGAUCUCUAAUCCGAGGGCUCAACCCCCGGCCGGAUCCCGAACUGGGAGGCUCGAGUUCGGUAGAGGCAGGCGGAAUUCCCGGUGUAGCGGUGGAAUGCGCAGAUAUCGGGAAGAACACCGAUGGCGAAGGCAGCCUGCUGGGCCGCAACUGACGCUGAGGCGCGAAAGCUAGGGGAGCGAACAGGAUUAGAUACCCCAGUAGUC